This is a long non-coding RNA of Nothoprocta perdicaria, 353 nucleotides long. RefSeq lists it as uncharacterized. The transcript is spliced from 3 exons. The record is from RefSeq and is a predicted model, not a curated record. Lineage: Eukaryota; Metazoa; Chordata; Aves; Tinamiformes; Tinamidae.
CUGCGGCUCCCGAGAGCUUCUGCGGAGCCUCACGUGGCUUCCUUGGAAGUACACUGAGUUGUUCCUCUGUUGCAGGGCGUAGGAAUCUGGGCAGGGCACAUACGUUCACAGCAGAACGCUUUGCCUUUUACUGGAAAAGCCACAGUUGUGCAAUCAUCCCGCUUAUUGCAUGUGCUUUUUACCUCCUGUGCUGAGUGCUGUAAUUCCUCCUUGCCUCUCAUUCCCGGAAGUAGAGCCUAUUUACAAGACUUCUGAACUGUGAGAAACCAAGACUUUUUGGGGUCAAAUUAUUUCUGUUCCAGUAGCUGCUGACUGCUACCCUGGUAAGCUCGUGCAGCAUCCUCAUCAUCCAA